CCCCUGCCUGCCCGCCGCGGAGGCGCGCAGAGAGGCCGGCGCGGGUGGCGGGAGGCGGCUCCAGGGGCCGGCACGGCCUCGGGCGCUCCGGGCGGGGAAAGGGGCCUCGCCGCGGGAGGACCCGCCUGGUGUUGACAACAUGGCAGCAUCCAGCCGGGCCCAGGUGCUGCGGUUGUACCGGGCCCUGCUGCGGGAGAGCCAGCGCUUCAGCGGCUACAACUACAGAUUUGCUGAACUGAACAUGCGGUGCUUUGCUAUAAAUGAGGGAAGGUCAUUGAGCCAUAUGGUGAUGGGAGGUCCAGCAGGGGAUGUUUGUCACUACCGACUGAGAAUGUAUGCCAUCAGAAGGAUAAGAGAUGCCUUCAAAGAAAACAAGAAUAUAAAGGAUUCUGAAAAAAUAGAAGAAUUAGUGAAAAAAGCCAAAGCAAACCUAGAGGUUAUUCAUCGGCAGGUAAUUCUUCAGUUGCAUAUAUGCGACGAAGAUGGUUUAAGGGUCGCUUAGUAUGAAGAUGCUUUUUGGUGUUGAGUGCUGCUACAUGACAUUCUUCGUCAUCAAAAGACUGACUCUUUGCUCUCCUAUGACAUCCUAAUAUUUAGCAUACUAGUGAGACUGAAUUCUUGUAGACCAAAUUAUGGAAAGUCAGGUUACUAUUGGCCAACUCUAUUCCACACAGAAACUGGUUAUUGAGAGUCCAGGAAACACAUAGCUAUGAGAAGACCCUGAUCCUGAAGCAACACUGGACCAUUCUCAGCAUCCUACAGUGCCACAUACAGAUGCACAAACUCACUGCACAUGUCUGAGCUUUUCUGUUCAGCAGAAGAAAUGCCUUGAGAGACUGUUUUUGGCAACCAAAGUACUGUUUUCUAAUGGCUCACCUGUUCUGAAAUAUAUUGCUGUGAUUUAUAGUAGCAUGUUAAGGUAGUUUUGAAACCUGUUGGCUUAUAUGUCCCAUGUGAUGGAAUAGUUCCUCCUCUACUUUGACAAUAAAACUUCAUUAAACUACCUGUAACCAGA
This is an RNA transcript of Falco peregrinus (peregrine falcon), 1015 nucleotides long. It is a transcript of the gene named LYR motif containing 4, with no coding region annotated. The transcript has 6 exons. NCBI's taxonomy places the organism in Eukaryota, Metazoa, Chordata, Aves, Falconiformes, Falconidae. The record is from RefSeq and is a predicted model, not a curated record.